GUGCUGGAAGCUGAGUUUAUAAAUAAUGGAAUUUCAAGCAGUAGUGAUGGCAGUUGGUGGGGGAUCUCGGAUGACAGACCUGACUUCCAGCAUUCCCAAACCUUUGCUUCCAGUUGGAAACAAACCUUUAAUUUGGUACCCACUGAACCUGCUUGAGCGUGUUGGAUUUGAAGAAGUCAUUGUGAUUACAAUCAAGGAUGUCCAAAAGGCUUUAAGUGCAGAAUUCAAGAUGAAAAUGAAGGCAGAUAUUGUGUGUAUUCCUGAUGAUGCUGACAUGGGAACUGCAGAUUCUUUGUGCUACAUAUAUCCAAAGCUUAAGACAGAUGUGUUGGUCCUGAGCUGUGAUUUAAUAACAGAUGUUGCCUUACAUGAAGUUGUGGACCUUUUCAGAGCUUAUGAUGCAUCACUCGCCAUGUUAAUGAGAAAAGGCCAAGAUAGCUUGGAGCCAGUUCCAGGUCAAAAGGGGAAAAAGAAAACAGUGGAGCAGCGUGACUUCAUUGGAGUGGACAGCACAGGAAAAAGGCUACUUUUCAUGGCUAAUGAAGCAGACUUGGAUGAAGAGCUGGUCAUUAAGGGAUCCAUCCUGCAGAAGUACCCCAGAAUACACUUCCAUACAGGCCUCGUGGAUGCCCAUCUCUACUGCUUGAAAAAAUACGUUGUAGAUUUCCUAAUGGAAAAUAGUUCAUUCACUUCUAUCCGGAGUGAGCUGAUUCCAUACCUAGUAAGAAAACAGUUUUCCUCAGCUUCUUCACAACAGGGACAAGAAGAAAAAGAGGAGGAUGUAAAGAAAAAGGAACCGAAAUCCUUAGAUAUUUACAGUUUUAUAAAAGAAGGCAAUACUCUGACCUCGGCCCCCUAUGACACCUGUUGGAAUGCCUGUCGCAGAGAUAGAUGGGACGACUUGUCCACUUCACGGGUACACUGCUACGUGCACAUCAUGAAAGAAGGCCUCUGCUCUAGAGUGAGCACACUGGGACUCUACAUGGAAGCAAACAGACAGGUGCCCAAAUUGCUGCCUGUUCUUUGUCCUGAAGAAUCACUAAUCCAUUCAUCAGCACAGAUUUCCAGCAAACACCUGGUUGGAAUUGACCGUCUCAUUGGACCAGAUACACAGGUUGGAGAAAAGUCAUCAGUUAAGCACUCAGUCAUUGCUUCCUCCUGUCUCAUAGGAGAUAGAGUGACUGUCACCAACUGCCUUCUCAUGAACUCAGUCACUGUGGAAGAAGGAAGCAGCAUCCAGGGCAGCGUCAUCUGCAACAAUGCUGUGAUUGAGAAGGGAGCAGACAUUAAAGACUGUUUGAUUGGAUGUGGCCAGAGGAUCGAAGCCAAAGCUAAACGAACAAAUGAGGUGAUUGUGGGAAAUGACCAGCUCAUGGAAAUCUGAAUUCUGAGCAAGACAGACUCCUUCCUUUUGGCAUCCACAACUGCAGAUGUUGGCUGGCCCACCUGUUUGACUCUGUAUUUAUUUUCUAAUAAAGAAGGACUU
RNA transcript from Octodon degus (degu), 1486 nucleotides. It is a transcript of the gene named translation initiation factor eIF-2B subunit gamma pseudogene, with no coding region annotated. The record is from RefSeq and is a predicted model, not a curated record. Lineage: Eukaryota; Metazoa; Chordata; Mammalia; Rodentia; Octodontidae. The transcript has a single exon.